Molecule: ribosomal RNA, 253 nt
Filed under: uncultured bacterium
Lineage: Bacteria
Description: partial 16S ribosomal RNA
Rfam family: Bacterial small subunit ribosomal RNA
Source: RNAcentral
GACGUAGGGCGCGAGCGUUGUCCGGAUUUAUUGGGCGUAAAGAGCUCGUAGGCGGCUUGUCGCGUCGAAUGUGAAAUUUUAGGGCUCAACCCUGACAUUGCAUUCGAUACGGGCAGGCUUGAGUUCGGUAGGGGAGACUGGAAUUCCUGGUGUAGCGGUGAAAUGCGCAGAUAUCAGGAGGAACACCGGUGGCGAAGGCGGGUCUCUGGGCCGAUACUGACGCUGAGGAGCGAAAGCUAGGGGAGCAAACGGG